Long non-coding RNA from Canis lupus familiaris (dog), 2729 nucleotides. RefSeq lists it as uncharacterized. NCBI's taxonomy places the organism in Eukaryota, Metazoa, Chordata, Mammalia, Carnivora, Canidae. The record is from RefSeq and is a predicted model, not a curated record. The transcript has 7 exons.
UUUCCAUGGCAACUCCCUCUUGUACACAUUCUGUUUGCUCGUGUAGAAAAAGUACUUCAUUGAUGUAGUGGUGCAUCUUCUCAUUGGUCAUGUUGACACAAAGCUAUUGGAGGGGAGAAAGAAAACAAUUAUGGCCAUGCAAAUCCACUCGUUCUGGGACGAUUUCAGAAUAAAUAAUGUUGCGCCCUAAGAGAAAUGCAAGCAAAUAUACUCAUGGAUGGGCAGCAGUUUAGAAGAUGUAGGAUGAAAAUACACAAUCAAGUCUAGCUUCAGAGAACCUGUGGCUCUGGGGACAGUUCUGAAUUCAGAGCUUCAUGCUGUGUCCUUCUAUUUUUUUCCAAUCUGUUGACCCAUGUGUGCCUCCAUCCUCCCUGGUGACUUAUGCACACCAGGAGAUGCCGGGAUGAUGCUCACUCAGUGGUAACAGCAUUGAGGGUGUAAGCAACUUUUAGGAAUCUGGUGAAGAACUCUAUGUGGACAACAAAGAAAUUCUCAAAAGGCUUCAUUCAAAGAUAGGCAUACAUGUGAAGACUUCUGGAUGCAAUUCUGCUCUCAACGGCCUGCUCAAAGUCAGUGUUACUGACAAGAAUACUAACAAAGUUUUCCAUUAACGAGAUGACAUUGUAGGUCUAUGAUUUUUAGAUCAUCAAAUAGUCCUGAAAAGCUCCUGCUUUAAAGGUGGUUAAGGCUAUGACUCAAAAUGAUUACCAUAGAGACCUCCUGUCAAAUAAUCUGCAAAUAAGUGAACAAAAUAGGAAGACUUACUAAUCGGAAACAUAACAUUCGAUUGGUCCUAAGAGAGAAAUGGGCUCCUCAAAAAAGUGUCGCGUUGGAUUAUAGAGCACCUGUAAGAGGUGCUUUUAAGUCGGCUACAACAAGAAUAACAGAGCAGACCCGUGUCUGCCAAUCCUACCUGCUGUGCUCAUCUUGACUGUGGAGGCAACAAUUCAUGGUAUUCACCAAAAAGCUAAACAAACGACUGAACAUGGACUUGGCCAAGAGGUCCCGGUAAAAUUCUGCCAUCUCCACAGUGUGUCGCCGUAUGAUGGUAUCUCCUGGAAGGGCAGAAAGGCUAAGAGGUGGCCCUGAAUGUUUCUCCCAGUCCCUGGUUCAAUUACUUUGAUACAAGGUGAAGACAUGAUGCUCACUGACAAUCUGUGGUUUGAAGGUAUUUUAAGGAAAAGAGAAAGAAAUGGAUGUUGGCAAGAGCUAUCUUUGAGCAGAAGGGAGAAGGAAGUAAGAGUGUCUGCUGAAAGAAAAGAUCUGAGAAUCUGGAGCUCUGCAUAAAGAAAGAAACUAGACCUUAAAUUUGGUUUAUGGGCAGUCAUUUUGUGGUGACAGUGAAAAAUCAAGGAAAAGCUGUAGGCUGAAAAAUAAACCUCUCUGGAACAAAUACUUAGUAUAAUGAUAUCAAUAGUACACUGGUUAAGUUCCAUGUUGGGCAAAGGACAUAUCUUUUAAAUUCUCAUUUUCCUAAUAUGCAGUUUUAAAAUUAAAAGCUGUCGUCUGUGAAAAUCUACUAAGAACAACUCGCAUUUGCUUUACAAGUAUACAAGUAGAAUAAUGUAGCCCUUAGGACCUCCAUGAAUUUCUUCCAGAACUUCUAGUUCUCACCACAGAAUAUAAUUCUAUCAUCUUUAAGAUGAGAAUACUGACAAGGAUGGUCUGUAAGUAAUUUUCAGGUAUAAUACCCUAGGACUGUGGCAUUACUUAAAAGUGGUUUCGGUGACUUGCAAAUCACAGGCUAUGGUUUCAAACUUCAUUCAAUCAUGCUGGCUUGAAUAACAUUUCACUCCUCACACUACCUGACAACUGCUUUCCCCCUGUUUAAUAUUUUUAAUAAAUCCCGUAACUCCUCAGUAUAUUUUCAUGGUUCCCUGUGAAGUAGGCACUCUAGAGAUACACGGUCAGGAAGGCUUUGUUCUGACCUCAAGAGUCUCGGAGUUUAGCAGUGGAGACAGAGCAUGACAACUAGCCACACUAGGAAGCAUUGUGAGCAGAGGACAGGGCUGACGUCCUGUGUCCACAGACAGUGGGUGGCAUUUCCCUGCCGUCCUGCUGGCCCACGACAUGGUGCUGAUGGAGGACGCAGGUGAAGGCAUCUUUAUGAACAAGUCUUGUUCAAUUUUCUUGCCAGCCCAGAAAUAUCUCCCUUCUGGUCCUACCGGACAUGAUCUAUCCCUCCGAAGUGCACUAAAAUGUCACCAUUCUGAUCACCCUAAAGGAUCACAGUGAAAUGGUGUCCUUCGUGUCUUUUGUUAAAAUGCACAUAUGUCUUUUACCAAAAAGGUUGUCAGAUUCUCUACUGGGUACCUUAGGCGAAAAAGUAUAUUCUGGUUGCCCUUGCUUCUGAGAAUCAAUCAUGGAUUUUUAAAACCCUGUUUCCAAGCAACGAGUACUUUGGUAGAAUGGUUCCGUACCCACUUCUAUAUCCCAGUUUCCUAUAAGGAAGCAGAAAUUUUAGGCACAGAAGAAGGGAAAAUUUUUUUUUAAAAAAGUACAACAGUAGUGAAUGCCAGGGCAGAAAAGUGCAAAUGGGUAGGAGUUACUAAAAGACAGAAAUACAGAGAUUGGAUAACUGGAGAGAGAGAAAAAGAAAAACGCAGAUACCAUAUGAUUGUAUGUUCCUAGAUUCCCAAGUUCUGAAUAGGACGGGGGUGAAGUGCCCAGAGCUGUUUCAUUUAGGGCGAAUCCCCAUCUCCCCACCCCUUCCCACAGCUCCCUGCCCU